GAUGAACGCUGGCGGCGUGCCUAAUACAUGCAAGUCGAGCGAACAGAUGAGGAGCUUGCUCCUCUGACGUUAGCGGCGGACGGGUGAGUAACACGUGGAUAACCUACCUAUAAGACUGGGAUAACUUCGGGAAACCGGAGCUAAUACCGGAUAAUAUAUUGAACCGCAUGGUUCAAUAGUGAAAGACGGUUUUGCUGUCACUUCUAGAUGGAUCCGCGCCGCAUUAGCUAGUUGGUAAGGUAACGGCUUACCAAGGCAACGAUGCGUAGCCGACCUUAGAGGGUGAUCGGCCACACUGGAACUGAGACACGGUCCAGACUCCUACGGGAGGCAGCAGUAGGGAAUCUUCCGCAAUGGGCGAAAGCCUGACGGAGCAACGCCGCGUGAGUGAUGAAGGUCUUCGGAUCGUAAAACUCUGUUAUUAGGGAAGAACAAAUGCGUAAGUAACUAUGCACGUCUUGACGGUACCUAAUCAGAAAGCCACGGCUAACUACGUG
Molecule: ribosomal RNA, 497 nt
Filed under: uncultured bacterium
Lineage: Bacteria
Description: partial 16S ribosomal RNA
Rfam family: Bacterial small subunit ribosomal RNA
Source: RNAcentral